RNAcentral lists this signal recognition particle RNA (99 nucleotides) under Histophilus somni. RNAcentral describes it as "signal recognition particle sRNA small type". It matches the Rfam family "Bacterial small signal recognition particle RNA". Rfam says of the family: The signal recognition particle (SRP) is a universally conserved ribonucleoprotein involved in the co-translational targeting of proteins to membranes. Lineage: Bacteria; Pseudomonadati; Pseudomonadota; Gammaproteobacteria; Pasteurellales; Pasteurellaceae. The record is from RNAcentral.
UUUUGGGCUUCUCGCAGUAGUCUUUAAUUUACUUGGUCAGGUUCGGAAGAAAGCAGCCAGAAUUAGAAUAGCUAAGUGCCGAGAUCCUGCCGGAAAGGU